RNAcentral lists this ribosomal RNA (1197 nucleotides) under uncultured organism. RNAcentral describes it as "bacterial SSU rRNA". It matches the Rfam family "Bacterial small subunit ribosomal RNA", at positions 199 to 1426 of the family's 1533-position model. The record is from RNAcentral.
GAGUAAAGAUUUCGGUCGCUUUGGGAGGAGCUCGCUUACUAUCAGCUUGUUGGUAGGGUAAUGGCCUACCAAGGCUAUGACGGUUAGGGGGUGUGAGAGCAUGACCCCCAGCAUUGGCACUGAAACACUGGCCAAACACCUACGGGUGGCUGCAGUCGAGAAUCUUCCACAAUGGGGGAAACCCUGAUGGAGCGAUGCUGCGUGCGGGAUGAAGGCCUUCGGGUUGUAAACCGCUUUUGUAGGGGACGAAAUUUUUGACGGUACCCUUUCGAAUAAGAGGUUGCUAACUCUGUGCCAGCAGCAGCGGUAAUACAGAGACCUCAAGCGUUAUCCGGAUUUACUGGGCGUAAAGCGUCUGUAGGGGGUUUAUUAAGUUCCAAGUAAAAUUUCAAGGCUCAACUUUGAAUUCGCUUGGAAAACUAAUAAACUGGAGUCUAGCAGAGGUGCAUGGAACUUGUGGUGUAGGAGUGAAAUCCGUUGAUAUCACAAGGAACACCAAAGGCGAAGGCAUUGCACUGGGCUAGCACUGACCCUGAGAGACGAAAGCGUGGGGAGCAAAACGGAUUAGAUACCCGUGUAGUCCACGCCCUAAACGAUGAAUGCUAAAUGUUCGAGGAUUCGACCCCCUGGGUGUUACAGCUAACGCGUUAAGCAUUCCGCCUGGGAAGUACGGCCGCAAGGCUAAAACUCAAAGGAAUAGACGGGGAUCCGCACAAGCGGUGGAGCGUCUGGUUUAAUUCGACAGUAAGCGUGGUACCUCACCAGGGUUUGACAUCCCUUGACAGCCUUGGAAACAAGGUUUCCUUCGGGCAAGGUGACAGGUGCUGCAUGGUCGUCGUCAGUUCGUGCCGUGAGGUGUUCCGUUAAGUCGGGAAACGAACGAAACCCCUAUUGCAUGUUACAAUUUCUCAUGCAAGACUGCCCGGAUAUACUGGGAGGAAGGUGGGGAUGACGUCAGAUCUGCAUGGUCCUUAUACCCUGGGCGACACAGGCGCUACAAUGGCAGAGACAAAGGGUUGCAAAACCGCAAGGUGAAGCUAAUCCCAAAAACUUUGUCUAAGUUCGGAUUGAAGGCUGCAAUUCGCCUUCAUGAAGCUGGAAUCGCUAGUAAUCGUGAAUCAGCCACGUCACGGUGAAUAUGUUCCCGGAUCUUGUACUCACCGCCCGUCACACCAAGAGAGUUGGUAGCUCCCGAAG